This 361-nucleotide long non-coding RNA is filed under the name Bos taurus (domestic cattle). RNAcentral describes it as "long non-coding RNA NONBTAT013525". Lineage: Eukaryota; Metazoa; Chordata; Mammalia; Artiodactyla; Bovidae. The record is from RNAcentral.
GGUACUGAAAUACAGUGGUAAGUAAGGGUUUGAUGAAGCACUUAUUUAAUGAAUUAGUGAAUGAAUACAUCAAUUUAACAAGUCUUGAGAUUAUAGUGCCUAGUCAUAACGCAAAACCACUGAGGUCUUGCUUUCAAACUAGCAAUUAUUUCCCCAUUAUCAUCAUCCUGGCCAUAAAUCACAUUGUAAAGGAAAUGACUUUUACUGUGAACAAAGAAGAGGCUUUUAUAUAACAAGCAAGUUUAAUGCUAAUGUAAAUAGAGCCAGUUGACAAUGGCUUUAAUAUAUCUAGGGGAUACUCAUUAGUGCCUGGCAUUAUUUUGAUGAAAAAAAAAAAAGGAUAAAAAGAUUCACCCUCAAA